AAUAAAGUUAGCAUUUACUGAGUGCUGUUGAUAGGAUGACCUAAGUGCUUUCCAUGUCUUAAGUUAUUCACACAUCCCCACACUCCUAUAAGGUGUUGCCCAGGAGGGUAAGUAGCUUGUCCAAUUUAUUGCAGAGGAGGAAAGUUUCAGGUAGCUGCCCAAGGCCACAGUGAGUCAGGGACCGGGCUGGGAUUUGAACCAGGCAGUCUGGCUCCGAGCGCACCCCCUGGUGGACCACUAGAUGGAUUGCCCUUCUGGAUAGUGUGACAUUUUGCAAAGAGCACUGGUCACCUGGGUUAUAAUCUUGGCUCUGCCACUGACUUUCUGGGUAAGCUCAGGAGAAUCACUCAACUCCUCUGGGCAUUGGUGAAACAAGAGUGCUGUCUGGAUCCUCUCUAAGAUUCAUGCUAGCUGGAGGAUUCUAGAAACCCCUUUGUUCUUCCUCGACCAGUUACAUCUCCUCUCCUACCCCAUCUUCCCACUCUUGACACAGAACACAGGUAGUGUUUCGGCAGAAAGAGGUAAUUUUCUGGUGCAAAGGAAAACUUUAAUGCCGACUCCCUUUCAGGGAGGAGGUGGGCAGCUGGUUUGCAGCUGGUGCCAACUCUUGAAAUAUGCUCAUUGCAGGUAUGGUUAUCCCCAGUCAGCAAAGAUACUCUGUGAUCCCAGCAGUCAUCAGAAGUCCAUCCUCGUAAUGCCUCAUCACACUUCCUGACUAUAUCUGCAGUGCUGCAUGAAGUACACAAAUAGGAGAGCAAGAGGAAAGAGAAGAGGACCCAGGAUUACAUUUUGAGGAACACUUUUAAGAAGCCAAGAGGUGAAGUCUUUAAAAGAGGGUGGUGAGCAUCAGUAUAUGAAAGCUUAGGUAGAUAAAGUCUGAGAACAGGGUAGCACUUGACUGCUUGUGUAGAAAAAGGCAUUUUUGGUGGGAGCAUCCUUAUCCUCUUCCAUCUCUUAGCCCAUAAGUUACAGCUGGGUUGUCAGCUUAGCUGAUUGACAUGCUUUCCAUUUCAUGAGACACAGAGAACUUGAGACAAUGUCUUCCCGAGGGAAGGGGGGAG
Molecule: long non-coding RNA, 1061 nt
Filed under: Equus caballus (horse)
Lineage: Eukaryota; Metazoa; Chordata; Mammalia; Perissodactyla; Equidae
Description: lncRNA (ENSECAG00000057683.1)
Source: RNAcentral